ACGAACGCUGGCGGCGUGCUUAACACAUGCAAGUCGAGCGGUAAGGCCUCUUCGGGGGUACACGAGCGGCGAACGGGUGAGUAACACGUGGGUGACCUGCCCUCAGCUCUGGGAUAAGCCUGGGAAACUGGGUCUAAUACCGGAUAUGACCACAUGUUGCAUGGUGUGUGGUGGAAAGUUUUUUCGGCUGGGGAUGGGCCCGCGGCCUAUCAGCUUGUUGGUGGGGUGAUGGCCUACCAAGGCGACGACGGGUAGCCGGCCUGAGAGGGCGACCGGCCACACUGGGACUGAGACACGGCCCAGACUCCUACGGGAGGCAGCAGUGGGGAAUAUUGCGCAAUGGGCGGAAGCCUGACGCAGCGACGCCGCGUGGGGGAUGACGGCCUUCGGGUUGUAAACCUCUUUCGACCGGGACGAAGCGUAAGUGACGGUACCGGUAGAAGAAGCACCGGCCAACUACGUG
Molecule: ribosomal RNA, 463 nt
Filed under: uncultured bacterium
Lineage: Bacteria
Description: partial 16S ribosomal RNA
Rfam family: Bacterial small subunit ribosomal RNA
Source: RNAcentral